UACAGAGGUCCCAAGCGUUGUUCGGAUUCAUUGGGCGUAAAGGGUGUGUAGGUGGCGCCGUAAGUCGGGUGUGAAAUCUCGGGGCUUAACUCCGAAACUGCAUUCGAUACUGCGGUGCUUGAGGACUGGAGAGGAGACUGGAAUUCAUGGUGUAGCAGUGAAAUGCGUAGAGAUCGGGAGGAACAUCAGUUGCGAAGGCGGCUCUCUGGACCAGCACUGACAC
Molecule: ribosomal RNA, 223 nt
Filed under: uncultured bacterium
Lineage: Bacteria
Description: partial 16S ribosomal RNA
Rfam family: Bacterial small subunit ribosomal RNA
Source: RNAcentral